Molecule: ribosomal RNA, 396 nt
Filed under: uncultured bacterium
Lineage: Bacteria
Description: partial 16S ribosomal RNA
Rfam family: Bacterial small subunit ribosomal RNA
Source: RNAcentral
AUACGUAGGUGGCAAGCGUUGUCCGGAUUUACUGGGUGUAAAGGGCGUGUAGGCGGAGCAGCAAGUCAGAAGUGAAAUCUCCGGGCUUAACCCGGAAACUGCUUUUGAAACUGUUGCCCUUGAGUAUCGGAGAGGCAGGCGGAAUUCCUAGUGUAGCGGUGAAAUGCGUAGAUAUUAGGAGGAACACCAGUGGCGAAGGCGGCCUGCUGGACGACAACUGACGCUGAGGCGCGAAAGCGUGGGGAGCAAACAGGAUUAGAUCCCCUGGUAGUCCACGCCGUAAACGAUGGAUACUAGGUGUGGGGGGACUGACCCCUUCCGUGCCGCAGUUAACACAAUAAGUAUCCCACCUGGGGAGUACGAUCGCAAGAUUGAAACUCAAAGGAAUUGACGGGG